Molecule: ribosomal RNA, 433 nt
Filed under: uncultured bacterium
Lineage: Bacteria
Description: partial 16S ribosomal RNA
Rfam family: Bacterial small subunit ribosomal RNA
Source: RNAcentral
AACGAACGCUGGCGGCAUGCCUAACACAUGCAAGUCGAACGAGACCUUCGGGUCUAGUGGCGCACGGGUGCGUAACGCGUGGGAACCUGCCCUUAGGUUCGGAAUAACUCCCCGAAAGGGGUGCUAAUACCGGUUAAUGUCUUCGGACCAAAGAUUUAUCGCCUUUGGAUGGGCCCGCGUUGGAUUAGCUAGUUGGUAGGGUAAAAGCCUACCAAGGCGACGAUCCAUAGAUGGUCUGAGAGGAUGAUCAGCCACACUGGGACUGAGACACGGCCCAGAAUACUACGGGAAGCAGCAGUGGGGAAUAUUGGAAAAUGGGCGAAAGCCUGAUCAAGCAAUGCCGCGUGAGUGAUGAAGGCAUUAGGGUAGUAAAGCUCUUUUACCCGGGAUGAUAAUGACAGUACCGGGAGAAUAAGCUCCGGCUAACUCCGUG